RNAcentral lists this ribosomal RNA (1434 nucleotides) under uncultured organism. Its description in RNAcentral is "16S ribosomal RNA". It matches the Rfam family "Bacterial small subunit ribosomal RNA". The record is from RNAcentral.
CAGGCUUAACACAUGCAAGUCGAGGGGCAGCACAGGUAGCAAUACCGGGUGGCGACCGGCGCACGGGUGAGUAACGCGUAUGCAACUUACCUAUCAGAGGGGGAUAACCCGGCGAAAGUCGGACUAAUACCGCAUGAAGCAGGGGCCCCGCAUGGGGAUAUUUGCUAAAGAUUCGUCGCUGAUAGAUAGGCAUGCGUUCCAUUAGGCAGUUGGCGGGGUAACGGCCCACCAAACCGACGAUGGAUAGGGGUUCUGAGAGGAAGGUCCCCCACAUUGGUACUGAGACACGGACCAAACUCCUACGGGAGGCAGCAGUGAGGAAUAUUGGUCAAUGGCCGAGAGGCUGAACCAGCCAAGUCGCGUGAGGGAUGAAGGUUCUAUGGAUCGUAAACCUCUUUUAUAAGGGAAUAAAGUGCGGGACGUGUCCCGUUUUGUAUGUACCUUAUGAAUAAGGAUCGGCUAACUCCGUGCCAGCAGCCGCGGUAAUACGGAGGAUCCGAGCGUUAUCCGGAUUUAUUGGGUUUAAAGGGUGCGUAGGCGGCCUUUUAAGUCAGCGGUGAAAGUCUGUGGCUCAACCAUAGAAUUGCCGUUGAAACUGGGGGGCUUGAGUAUGUUUGAGGCAGGCGGAAUGCGUGGUGUAGCGGUGAAAUGCAUAGAUAUCACGCAGAACCCCGAUUGCGAAGGCAGCCUGCCAAGCCAUGACUGACGCUGAUGCACGAAAGCGUGGGGAUCAAACAGGAUUAGAUACCCUGGUAGUCCACGCAGUAAACGAUGAUCACUAGCUGUUUGCGAUACACUGUAAGCGGCACAGCGAAAGCGUUAAGUGAUCCACCUGGGGAGUACGCCGGCAACGGUGAAACUCAAAGGAAUUGACGGGGGCCCGCACAAGCGGAGGAACAUGUGGUUUAAUUCGAUGAUACGCGAGGAACCUUACCCGGGUUUGAACGCAUUCGGACCGAGGUGGAAACACCUUUUCUAGCAAUAGCCGUUUGCGAGGUGCUGCAUGGUUGUCGUCAGCUCGUGCCGUGAGGUGUCGGCUUAAGUGCCAUAACGAGCGCAACCCUUGCCACUAGUUACUAACAGGUGAUGCUGAGGACUCUGGUGGGACUGCCAGCGUAAGCUGCGAGGAAGGCGGGGAUGACGUCAAAUCAGCACGGCCCUUACAUCCGGGGCGACACACGUGUUACAAUGGCGUGGACAAAGGGAGGCCACCUGGCGACAGGGAGCGAAUCCCCAAACCACGUCUCAGUUCGGAUCGGAGUCUGCAACCCGACUCCGUGAAGCUGGAUUCGCUAGUAAUCGCGCAUCAGCCAUGGCGCGGUGAAUACGUUCCCGGGCCUUGUACACACCGCCCGUCAAGCCAUGGGAGCCGGGGGUACCUGAAGUCCGUAACCGCGAGGAUCGGCCUAGGGUAAAACUGGUGACUGGGGCUAA